UGGGGGCAACCCUGACGCAGCAACGCCGCGUGAGUGAUGAAGGCCUUCGGGUCGUAAAGCUCUGUCAAGUGGGAAGAACCUGAUUGUGGUAAACAGCCAUAGUCACUGACGGUACCACUGAAGGAAGCACCGGCUAACUCCGUGCCAGCAGCCGCGGUAAUACGGAGGGUGCAAGCGUUAUUCGGAUUUACUGGGCGUAAAGGGCGCGUAGGCGGUUGAUCAAGCCAGGUGUGAAAUCCCGGGGCUUAACUCCGGAAGUGCAUCUGAAACUGGUUGGCUUGAGUAUGGUAGAGG
Molecule: ribosomal RNA, 294 nt
Filed under: uncultured bacterium
Lineage: Bacteria
Description: partial 16S small subunit ribosomal RNA
Rfam family: Bacterial small subunit ribosomal RNA
Source: RNAcentral